Molecule: long non-coding RNA, 894 nt
Organism: Armigeres subalbatus
Lineage: Eukaryota; Metazoa; Arthropoda; Insecta; Diptera; Culicidae
Exons: 4
Source: RefSeq, a predicted model, not a curated record
GUCGACUGCUGACUUCGACGCCGCCAUAUUGCAUAUUUCAUCUCCCAAGCAAGCAGUCGUGAAAUGGGAGAAUUUUCUUGGGAAUUGUUUGAGUUUUUCCCGCAUAUUAAUGGCCCCAAACCGCUUCGAUAAAGGUCGUAAACUAUUCGACAUUUCAUUUCGGGAGAAACAAGCGAACGACCAAUCAAAACCAACAUCAUUCUUCGUCCGGGACGCGUGUGGUGUUCCUUCGUCCUGUGUUCUUCAACAACAUGCCACAGUAAGCGCAUCGUUGAGUUGCUCAUUUGUGUUCCGGCAAGUAGAGGAUGCAUUUUCGAUGUGUGAAUCACUUUUACCUAUCCGGAAAAUGACGGUAUUGUGCAGUUCAAGACAAAUGCCAGGAUUCAUUUGCAUAGGAAGUCCACUGUAAAUACCCACUUUUUGAUAUCAACCCAUUUCCGGAUGUCCUGGCCCUUCGCAAAACUUUAUCAUUUUGUACAGAAUAGCUGAGGCAAUCUACAGCGUUCGACGUCGUCCAAAAACACCGACUUCCGUGUUGCUCGAUAUGGUCUAUAUACGCGAUGGUCUGGAACUAACCUAGGAAUUUCUAGUGAGAAGUUGCUCACCUUUCGCCAUAUCAUUUCGGUGAUCGGUAGUUUAUGUUAAGGAUGACUCGCUUCCCGUGGCUAGUGUUACCAUUAUAACCUGCGGAUGGACCGAUCAGGACAACGAUUAGGUUUCUAUUUUGCGAGUACAUAAUUCUAUCGGUGUGUGGAUAAUGCUCAAUACAUAAUCUGCUGAAUCGCACUAUCGCUUCAGCGGUAGAAAAAAAACGCAAUCUGUGAGCAUAACAUCAAUUUUCUUUGUUCAAAUUGCAUGUCAUAGAAAAUAUAAAAUGAAAACAAUAAACUAUUA